UCUUUUUCCCACAGAAAGAAAGAACUCAAAAGAGAUCUCCCAAAAAGGUGAAACAUGAAAAGCAUUGAAAUAAUCUCAGGACAAGUUAGGAGAGACCUAAAGGAAAAUUGGCCUGGGGCUGUCCCCAGAUCUGUGAAACAAUUGCUUCCUUCCUUCAUCUCAGAUGUCUCACUGCCAAGCCAGGUGGUCUCAAUAUUGAGCCUUAACUUCCAAUAGAUCAUGAAAGCUUUCCAGCCCAUCUGCAAAAAUGCUUCUGAGAAAGAGUUUAUUAACCACAUAAUCAAUUUGAGGAACAGAGAAAGGGAUGAUGAGCUGAGGAGAAGAGAGAGAGGUAAGAGAAAUACUUUUAGUAA
RNAcentral lists this long non-coding RNA (353 nucleotides) under Ursus americanus (American black bear). Its description in RNAcentral is "lncRNA (ENSUAMG00000015118.1)". Lineage: Eukaryota; Metazoa; Chordata; Mammalia; Carnivora; Ursidae. The record is from RNAcentral.